This 103-nucleotide unclassified non-coding RNA is filed under the name Trypanosomatidae sp. PNG111. RNAcentral's name for it is "trans-spliced leader SL". The record is from RNAcentral. Lineage: Eukaryota; Euglenozoa; Kinetoplastea; Trypanosomatida; Trypanosomatidae. RNAcentral also lists the same sequence under 1 other name.
AACUAACGCAAUCAAAGUAACAGUUUCUGUACUUUAUUGGUAUGAGAAACUUCCAGAACUUUCAUAGUUCUAGGGAAAUUUUGGAACAAUAGCCUUCGGGCUG